UUUCGGGCUUAGUCGCGCACUUUCCCCAGCGAACUUGAACGAAGUGUUGUGCACUUGCUGCUCAACAUUUUGUUCCGUUACUUUGAGCAAAUUGGAGGGCUCCAACCAGGCUUUAGCUUGAACAGCUCAGCAUGGAAUAACAAGAUAGGACUUUGGUUCUUCUUGUUGGUGUCAUGAACCAAAAGUAAUGGUUGAUAAGGACAUACGGGGGCAUUUGUACUUGCUGGAGAGAGGUGAAAUUCUAAGACCCAGCAAAGACAAACAACUGCGAAAGCAUUUGCCCAGUGUGUACCUGUUAAUCAAGGACGAAAGUUGGGGGAUCGAAGACGAUUAGAUACCGUCGUAGUCCCAACUAUAAACUAUGCCGACUGAGGAUCGGAGGUGGAAGAUAAACGACUCCUUCGGCACUCCAAGAGAAAUCUAAGUCUCUGGGCCCUGGGGGGAGUAUGGUCGCAAGGCUGAAACUUAAAGGAAUUGACGGAAGGGCACCACCAGGAGUGGAGCCUGCGGCUUAAUUUGAUUCAACGCGGGGAACCUCACCAGGCCCGGACAUAGUCAUGAUUGACAGAUUGACAGAUUGAGAGUUCUUUCUCGAUUCUAUGGGUGGUGGUGCAUGGCCGUUCUUAGUCGGUGAGGUGACUUGUCUGGUUAAUUCCGAUAACGGACGAGACCUCGACCUGCUAACUAGCAAACGUUUACACAUAGUAAGCGUUUGGCUUCUUAGAGGGACUUUGU
Molecule: ribosomal RNA, 735 nt
Filed under: uncultured eukaryote
Lineage: Eukaryota
Description: bacterial SSU rRNA
Rfam family: Eukaryotic small subunit ribosomal RNA
Source: RNAcentral